GGAUGUGAGGGCGAUCUGGCUCCGAGAUCUGUCACCUCAUUGAUCGCCAGGGUUGAUUCGGCUGAUCUGGCUGGGUAGGUGGGUAUCUCUUUCCUCCAUAACCACUCCAUGUGCAUCCCUCCUGAAUCUGCACGUUCGGUCUGUCAAAGAGGACGGCCUUUCCCGAGUAGAGAGAGACUGGACUUCGGUAGAAGGUAUAGGAGCAGCUGCGCUCUCCUGCUAGAACCUCCAAACAAGCACUCAAAGAUCAAAAUCUUGAGCUAAAUGAAAUUAUAUUUUGACCCAAAAUAAAACUUAUUAAAAAUCAGGGCAAGUAUAGAAUUCAUAACAUCAUAUGCAUAUAUUU
Unclassified non-coding RNA from Erinaceus europaeus (western European hedgehog), 346 nucleotides. Its record names the gene 7SK. It matches the Rfam family "7SK RNA". From Rfam's summary of the family: 7SK was discovered as an abundant small nuclear RNA in the mid-70s but a possible function has only recently been suggested. Two independent studies have found that 7SK RNA binds the CDK9/cyclin T complex (known as elongation factor P-TEFb). Lineage: Eukaryota; Metazoa; Chordata; Mammalia; Eulipotyphla; Erinaceidae. The record is from Ensembl.